GAGAGAUUGUGGUGUAAUGGUUGCACUCAGGCGGUGGCACCUGAUGAUGGGGGUUCGAAUCCCUCCUUUCUCU
This 73-nucleotide transfer RNA is filed under the name Clostridia bacterium. RNAcentral's name for it is "tRNA-His". It matches the Rfam family "tRNA". From Rfam's summary of the family: Transfer RNA (tRNA) molecules are approximately 80 nucleotides in length. Lineage: Bacteria; Bacillati; Bacillota; Clostridia. RNAcentral also lists the same sequence under 2 other names. The record is from RNAcentral.